This 255-nucleotide ribosomal RNA is filed under the name uncultured bacterium. Its description in RNAcentral is "partial 16S ribosomal RNA". It matches the Rfam family "Bacterial small subunit ribosomal RNA", at positions 102 to 334 of the family's 1533-position model. The record is from RNAcentral.
GUCGUGGCCGGACCCGGCCGCGACGGGUGGAAGUAACACGUACCCAACCUGUCCCUUUCUCGGGGACGUCCUUUGAAAAGAAAGAUUAAUACCCGAUAGCAUAAUGAUUCCGCAUGGUUUCAUUAUUAAAGGAUUCCGGUAAAGGAUGGGGAUGCGUUCCAUUAGGUUGUUGGUGAGGUAACGGCUCACCAAGCCUUCGAUGGAUAGGGGUUCUGAGAGGAAGGUCCCCCACAUUGGAACUGAGACACGGUCCAA